UUGAGAAUUCACCACGAACUUAAUAAAGCUAUUACUCAACCUUAACAAGAAGAUUAAUAAAUACCCUAAUGUAUUCUAAUCUUCAUUCCAUGCUUGAUUCUUCAUUUCUCGAACAUCUUUACUUCGAUCUUGAUUAAUUCUCCGCUUUAAUCUUCAAUCAAGUAUUCUCUUAGCUCGAGCAUGAAUUACCUUGCAACAGCAUAAAUAAAAUAUACUAUGUCUUUUGUGGUUAGGUCAUCUUCAAAACUCAAGGGUCAACAUCCGUGUUGUAUGAAUCAUCAAGAAUUAGGGACAUGUAUACCAUUAGUUUCAAAUUUUCCAAUUAUUUUCCAAUUAACUAUUGCUCCUUCCAUCCGCUUUAAGAAUUUUACCAUUUGUCUUUCAUUUUCCAUGAUCCCCUAAAGAGUAAGGAGUUUUUGUUGGUUAUUGACUUGGUUAGUGCCAUGGAAAUUAUAUAUACAAUGAAGUAAUUAUAAUGAUUGAAAGGCAUUCAUGUCAUCAUUUACCAUUAUAAUUUAUAACACACUCAACUUUCCUUUGGAUUAGAUGCACCAAUGACUGAAUAACAAACAUAAUCCCUCCCCUAAUCUCUAUCUUAAUCCUCUUGUCUUUGCAAACAAACACACUACUAAUUCUACUACUGCAACUAUUAUCUUAUGGACUAUACAUGUCAGUGAGUCGAUUUUUUUAAUUACGUAAGAUAAAUGGUCUAAGGAUCAACCUUUGCUAGGCCACUAGCAUGUAGGUUACACCAAUUGUGAGGCAAGUCAUAAGAAAACCAUUGAAAAUUCAAAGUGGUACUUUAUUGAGCUAUCACAUCUUCCUGUUCUUUGAGGACUCGAUGAUUUAAACAAUGGGGAUGAUCUUAUAAUAUUACAAAAAGUCUUAAAUCUGCAAACUCAAUUAUGAUUAUCAUAAUAUCAGCGGCUUAACCAUCAACCCAACGUGAUCUUCUAAUUCUUCUCUCAAAACAAUACAAUUUACGAUAAAGUGUACAAAAGAAAAUACUUCCUCCGUUUCUUAAUAAGUGCAACAUAGUGAAAGUGGGAGAAUACCAAGGAAUGUAGAGAGAGAAAGUUGGGACCACAAUAAAGUAGAGUAAUAAGUGAUGAAACAAAAAAUUUGUGGUCCUCUUUUGCUUUUUGGUGGCAUAUUUGUAAUAAUAUUGAACCUUUUUUUACCAUUUUGAGCUUGGUUGCACUGAUUGUGACUAUUCCAAAUAAGGAAAAUGUUGCACUUAUUAAGAAACGGUGGUAGUAUAUAUAAGGAUUUUUAUUUUAUUUUAUUAUACACAUACAUUUCUUUGGUUUCUAUGUCGUAUUCCAGCAUUUUCAAAAUUUCAUACAAAUGUACAAUAUAGUUAACUAGAUGUUUGGGCUUAUUUCCUGGGCUAAGCCAGCCAGAGACAACUAAACCCAACAAAGCCUUAAGCCUCCAGAGGGCCCCACCUGUGAUAGUGCCUCCCAGCUGUCAGUGCCCUCCAGCUGGCCUACAGUUGGGAUAUUCCAAGCACUAUAAAUACUCAACCCCCUCAUCAAUGAGAAGGUAUUGAAUUCUUACCUAACAAACCAGAGCAUCUCUCUCUAGACUUUAUCUCUCUAAGCUUGAUCACUGACUUGAGCGUCGGAGAGGCGAUCCCGGAACAACCCCCGGGGCAGUCUAACCAUUACUUUUGCAGGAUUCUGGCGUACGGACUUUGGACUCAGGACAUUUAGAUCUGACCCGGUACUCCCUAAGCAAAGGAAUUAGCAUCCUCAAUUUCUAGACAGAAACAGUUUGGCGCCGUCUGUGGGGAAAGUACAAAAAGUUACUUCGCCACCACUCAUUAAGAUUUAUUCACUCAGCUACUCAGCUCCGAACGCCAAUUAACAAUGGCACCAACCAAAAACACUCGCGGCAAGCCAGCCUCUGACCAAGUCGCUCGGCCAGAGAGAGGCCACUCGCCCGCGCAUAAUCGGGAACCCCCAAUCCCUCGACCGGAGAGAGGCCACUCACCUGCACAUAAUAGAGAGGCAGAGCAGACCCCCUCUCCGGGUCGGAGGUCACCCACCGUCCAAACUCUGGACCCGCGGUCGGUCUCCCAACAUAUUCAGCAUGUGGAGCCUCAGCCGCUCUUUGCAUCUGACCUGGCCCUUAUCACUGCUCAGCUCCAGGAAACUUUCCAAAAGGGCAUGAUGUACAUGAUGGCCAUGCUCCAACAGAGGCAGCCGCAACAAGUCGUCCCGCUCAAUCAGCAUGAGCCCAGAGAGCGCACAGUCGUCCGCUCCCACAGGGACCACUCUCGUUCUAAUCGGGAUCCGCAGCCUAGCCGGCCACGGUCCGAUGCGAGAGACCCAAGCCACCGAGAAAAAGAAAAGUUGGCACGACAGGGGUCGGCCCGUCUGCAUGCAGAAACCCAUGUAUCUAAAUCCCCAAGGGGGGGGGUGGGUCGGAAACCCCAAGACGCCCGAGAAUUCCUUAACAACAAGAAGCGCCUCAGCCAAGGCUACGACGCCCGGGAGUUCCUCAGGAAGAAACCAAAUGAUCGAGAGGGCCAAGGGACUCGGCUCAUUCUCAUCCUCCUAGGCUAACUGGAGGUGGGCUCAAGUUCUUGAUCCCCUUCAGCCAAAAUAUCUUAGGGACCCAAACCCCGGGGAAAAUCAAAACCCCCCUGAUCGAGCCAUUUGCGGGCCUAACCGACCCAGAUGAUCAUAUGGCUAGUUACAAGGCUCAAAUGAGCGUUCAGACGAGUUGCGAGGCCACCUGGUGCCGUUUCUUCCCCACCACCCUCAAAGGUCUGGCCCUCAACUGGUUCCAAGAACUCCCAGCGGGGGUCAUAACUGACUUCGCCAUACUGGAACACCUCGUCAUCCACCAGUUCGUAGCUGGAAAGAGGCAAAGAAAAACCAGCCUCCAUCUCAUGGGGGUGAAGCAGGACAAGAAUGAAUCCUUGUCGGACUAUAUAAAGAGGUUCAACGAGGAGUCCCUCAAAAUUACCGACCUACAGGACGCUGUAGCCUUCGCUGCCCUCAUGUCCGGUCUUCAACCGGGUCGGCUCCGAUGGUCAUUGGCCGAGAAUGAAGUAAAGACUUACUCGGAAGCCAUGGCUAGGGCCCAAAGAUUCAUCCAGGCAACGGAUAUCUGCCGUUACUCGGAUGAGGGUGGCAAGAAGAGAAAAGUGAAGGAGGUCACCUGGGUCAGCCUAAGCAUCAAAGAACGGGGGGCCGUGGAGAUCGGCUCACCGAUAACGGCUCACCGAUAACGGCAACGACCCCCGAUUCAAUAAAAACCGGAAAGAGAUCUACUUUGACAUCCGGAACAAAAAUUGGCUUCCCAGGCCAACGCCCAUCCGGACAUCAUCGUCUCGGAGGGAUAAAAGCUUAUGGUGCGACUACCACAAGGAAUGUGGGCACACCAUCAAGGACUGUCGAGAGCUCAAGAAAUCCUUGGAUGGUUUGGCCGACCAGGGUAAGCUCAAUCACUACCUAAAGCGCUCGAGCGAAGAAAAGGGGAAGCAAAAGGUGGGUCAGUCGAACAGCGGGGACACGGAAGGAUUCAUCGGUGUCAUCGCUGGAGGAUUCGCGUCGGGAGGCCUAACCGGCCGAGCACGCAAGGCUCACCUCCAAAACCUCAAACAUCAGGUACUUGAUGUCCAGCUCCAUCGAGCUAGUUUCCCCGUCAUGACUUUCGGGGAACCCAGUCGGACGCUGCAAGUUCCGCACGACGACCCCCUAGUCAUCGAGCUCAAGGUAGCUAAUACGAAGGUGAAGAGGGUAUUGGUGGAUAGUGGGUCAUCCGCGGAUAUCAUCACCCUUGACUGCCUCAAAAAGUUGAAGUACACCGAACGGGAUGUUACCCCCAUGGCUCAGCCGCUCAUAGGCUUCGGGGCAACUCUGUCCUCCCGGUCGGAUCAAUAAAAUUACCCACUCGGAUGGGUGAAAAGGGUAAGGGGAGAAGCCUACCGAUCGACUUCUUGGUGGUAGACAUCCAUUUUCCUUACAACAUAAUAAUGGGGAGGCCCAUGCUAAACAAAGCCAAGGCCGCCAUCUCCACCUACCAACUCCUCUUGCAGUUUGAGACUGAUGACGGGAAGGUAGGAAAAAUUCAAGGCGACCAACAGGCAGCAAGAGAGUGCUAUGUGAAUAGCCUCAAAAAUAACGACGUCCAAAAGGACUCGGACAACGACGUCCAAAAGGACUCGAAAAAAAGAAAAUACGAAGGGGGUCAGCCCUCAACCAGCCUCGGGGUGUACAUAAAAUGAGAACCCCAAGCAAUACGAACGUCCUCAGCCAGCUGAGGAUGACGAAGAAGUCGCGAUCGGCCAGGACCCCGGUCGGACCGUCAGGGUAGGCAAGCUAUCAUCCAAGUGCUCACGGAGUACCAAGAUGUCUUCGCCUAUGAGGCCACAGAAAUGCCGGGGUUCGACCCGAAAAUCAUGUGUCAUGAGCUUAACAUCAAAGAGGGGUUCAGACCAAUCAAACAAAAGCUCAGACACCAAGGUCCCGAAAGAAAUGCCGCAGCAGCCGCAGAGGUCAAAAAGCUGCUCGAAGCGGGUUUCAUUGAAGAAUGCCAAUACUCGGAGUGGCUGGCCAACGUGGUAUUGGUCAAAAAGUUGAGUGGGGCAUGGCGAAUGUGUGUCGAUUUCACCGACUUAAACAAAGCCUGCCCAAAGGACAAUCACCCUCUGCCAAAGAUCGAUAGGCUGGUUGAUUCAACGGCAGGGCACGCCCUUCUCAGCUUCAUGGAUGCAAAUGCUGGCUAUCAUCAAAUUCCCAUGGCCGAGAAGGAUGGAGUUCAUACGACAUUUGUCACUCCUCAGGGUGUCUACUACUAUAAGAUGAUGUCGUUCGGCCUCAAAAAUGCCGGGGCUACAUAUCAGCGAACCGUCAACGAAAUCUUCAGCGACCAAUUGGGUCGGAACAUUGAAGUAUACAUUGACGAUAUGAUAGUCAAGAGCAAGGCCCAGUCGGAUCACCCUGCAGAUCUGAAAGAAACGUUGAGCACCCUAAGAAAAUACCGAAUGAUGCUCAACCCCAAAAAAUGUGUCUUCGGAGUUAAAGGGGGAAAGUGCCUCGGAUUUCUAGUGGACGAAAGAGGAAUCGAAGUCAACCCGGACAAAAUCAAAGCGGUCCUAGAGAUUAAAUCUCCUCGGAACGUUCGGGAGGUACAACGCUUAACCGGCUGCUUAGCGGCGCUCGGCCGAUUCCUCUCCCGGUCGGCUGAUAAGAGCUUGUUGUUCUUCAAGGCCCUGAAGCGAAAAGAGUUCGCAUGGGACGACGAAGCCGAGCAAGCCUUCACUGCCCUCAAGAAUCACUUGGCAACUUUGCCUAAACUGAUCUCCCCCUUGCCGGGGGAACCCCUGUUCAUUCACUUGGCUGUUUCGGACUACACUCUUAGCACUGUCCUAAUAGCCGAGCGAGAAGGAAAGCAACAUCCUGUCUACUUCAUCAGCCACGCCUAUAGGGGGGCCGAGGCGAAGUACAACGAUGUCGAAAAAAUGGUCUUUGCCUUAGUAAUGGCGAGCCGGAAGCUCAAGCCUUACUUCCAAGCACAUCCCAUCAAUGUCCUAACCAGACAACCGCUCCGGAAGCUCAUUGAGAAUAGAAAUCACUCGAGUCGGAUGAGCGAUUGGGCAGACCAGUUAGCAGACUUUGGGCUCGAAUUCGAGCCACGAAGGGCAAUCAAGGCCCAAGCACUCGCUGACUUCAUCACUGAAUGCGCAACUCGACCCCCGGUCGGUUCGCAAGAGGAGUGGGAGUUGCUUGUUGAUGGGUCAUCCACAAAGAGUGGUUGUGGAGCAGGGCUGGUCAUCAAGCCCCCGGUCGGAGAAAAAAUUGAAUAUGCUGUUAAGUUCGAGUUUCUCGGAUCUAACAAUGAAGCCGAGUAUGAGGCCCUCAUCCUCGGACUACAGCUAUGCAUCCUAGCUGGAGCAACAUCAGUCAUAGCCAAGUCCGACUCACAACUCAUAGUGGGUCAGAUUUCCGGAGACUAUGAGGCCAAGGAGGACAACAUGAGAAUGUACUUGGCCAAAGCCUGAGCUGUCAUUGGAAGGUUGUCCGGAUUCCGGAUUACCCACAUUCCUCGCUCGGAAAACCAGCAAGCUGAUGCACUGGCUCGGAUGGCUAGUUCUGCUGAAGGGUCGGCCCCUAGAACCAUAACUUGGGAAGUAUUGAAGGAGCCUAGCAUAAAUGCCAAAGAGCAGCUCGUACUCAAUCGUUCCUCGAACUGGAUGGGCGAAAUUGUGGAGUACUUGCGAGACGGGACCUUACCCAGUGAUCCUAAGGAAGCCGACCGGGUCAAACAUAAAUCAGGUUGGUUCCUCUGGCAUGAAAGGCAGCUCUAUAAGAAGUCCUUCACUCAUCCCCUCCUCAAGUGUAUAACCCCCGAGGAAGGAAACUAUGUCCUCCGGGAAAUACACCAAGGAGCUUGCGGGAGCCAUCAAGGGGGCAGAACGAUAGCCGGAAAGGCGCUAAGGGCAGGAUACUAUUGGCCUACUUUGAAAGCUGACGCCUCGGACUUAGUUCGGCGGUGUCCCUCCUGCCAGAUUCACUCGGACAUACCGAGAGCACCUGCCACUCCCCUCACCACCAUUCAAGCGGUUCUGCCCUUCGACAAGUGGGGCAUGGACUUGCUCGGACCCUUUCCCCCAGCUUCUGGGCAAAGGAAGUUCCUAAUUGUGGCUAUUGAUUAUUUCACCAAGUGGACCGAAGCCGAACCACUGGCGUCAAUUACUGACAAGCAGGUCCAGCUGUUCAUCUGGAGGAAUAUCAUCACCCGGUUCGGAAUUCCAAGAGCCCUGGUGUCGGACAAUGGCCGACAAUUCAACAGCGGGCCGACUCGAGACUAUUUUGCCCGGUUCGGCAUUCAAACAAGGUUUUCGGCCGUCUCCCGCCCUCAGACCAAAGAGCAAGCCAAAUCGGCUAACAAAAUUGUCCUUAAGGGAAUCAAGAAAUCCCUUGAUGCAGCUAAGGGGGCAUGGGUAGACGACCUUCCCGGUGUACUUUGGUCGGCCCGAACAACAGUGAAAGAAGCUACGGGGCACUCCCCUUUCGGCUUGGUCUAUGGUAGCGAAGCUGUUCUUCCGGUCGAGGUGGGAAUCCCUUCUCUUCGGAUCACAUUCUAUGAGUUUGACCAAAACGAGGAAGAAAAACCCGUCAACUUAGACCUGUUGCCAGAAACACGAGGCAAUGCUUUGCUGCGAGCCAUCCGGUACAAGCAGAAAAUCACAAGGCACUUUAAUAGGCGGGUAAAGCCUCGGCCAAUCAGCCUAGGUGACUGGGUCGUCCGAAAGGUGGAAGCCACCGGACUCUCCCAUCUCAAAGGGAAGCUGGGGGCAAAUUGGGACGGCCCCUAUAAGGUCACAGAGGUCAUCAAGCCAGGGACAUUCCGACUCGAAUCUCCAGAAGGGGUCCCCCUGGCUCGACCUUGGAACUUAGACAAUCUCAAAAGAUUCUAUGUUUAAUUUCUUUUUGUUACUUGCAAUAGGGGCAUAUUGUAAAACCAGCGUUACCUGGUCGGUUUAGCUAACAAAUUCAAAUGUAACUCGGACUUAGCCAGUCCAUGUAUCAAGUCGGGUUUCACCCCUUAAAUGAAAAGACUUAGCCAGUCUUAUUAUUUUGAUCAAAGUUGCAAACAGGACUUAACCAGUCCAUUGUAUAUUCAUAUGUUGUGAUAUUGCAAAAUAACAAAAAUAAAUUGCAUAAUGAACGACAAGUUGCAAAAUAGUAGUUGUAUUCCCAUUGAUCAGAUUUGCAAAAUACAACCAAAAAUUUACAAAAAAUAAUACAAAGAUUAAAGCAAAAAAGCCAACAUGGCAAAAGCUUAGAGAAAAAUCCUAAGGCAGCUUGGUAGAGGGGUCGGCAGCAGGUUGCUCGGUUGGAGGCGGCUCGGUGCUGGCAGCUUCUUCGUUAUCAUCAGCCUCGUCAUUCGAGCUCAUCUCUUCGGCCAUUUUCGCUUUAAUCUCGGCUGCCUUAGCCUCAGCCAACUCCUGAUAGCGAGACCAGACCGAAUUCCAGUCAGCUUCAGGGCAGGAGUCGGUCAGGGCUUCCCUGAGCUUGGUGAGCGCCUCAUCCUCGCCCAUCUUGUGGGCGGAUUGGCCCACCUCGGCGCAGAACUCGGUGCAGUCAUCCGAGGCCUGCCAGGCUUUGAACCACUCCUCCUGGGAGCGGGAAACGGCCGCCUGAGCCUCCUUCAGUUGGGCCUCGGCAGUGGAAAGCUUAAACUUGAUCCUCUCCAAGUAGCCCUCGACACGAGCUUGUUUCGACUCGGCCUCAACUUUGGCUGACUCGGCAUUCUCUUUGGCCAGGGUGAGGUUGGCUCUCUCCACUUUCCAAGCCUCCUUUUCUUGUUGCCAAGUUGCCUCACCCUUGUUGAUUUUAGUGUUGGCCUCCUCCAAUCGUAGCUCGGCCAGCCGCUUCCCCUCCUUGGCCUGAUAAAGCUCGUCGAAGUGUGACCGAGCCGCCUCUUUCAAGCUCUGGACCUCUUGCACCUGUGCAAGCCGGUCCUCAGCUACCUUUGUCAUCCGGAUGGAAAACUGCAAAACAAGAACCAGUUAGAAGGUGACAGUUAAGGGGCAAAAAGCGAAGUAAAACAACGGUACUUACGUCCAUACAGGAGCGAAAGAGCUCGCUCGACUCGUUCUUCCCAUUUACCGCGUUGAUAUGAUCUCGGUCGGUUUGGGUGCAAAGUAUCUCCAAAGCGUCGGAGAUCCUUCGUUUCUUGUCCGUUUUGGACAUCUCUGUGAACGGGACCGGCGCCUCAGACAAGGUCUGCUCGGUAUGAGAAGUCCCCUGCACGUGACUCGGACUGCGCACCGGCUCGAAGUCCUCCGGGUGAAUGGAGAUAUGGGUAUUGUCAUCCCCAGAAGCCUGGCGAGGGCUGUUCACCUCCACGGAAGGCUCUUGCCUUGCCUUCUUUGCCGAGGCCUCCUUCUCGGCUCGAGCCUUCGCCAAUGCUCUCUCCGUCAUCUCCACCCUCUCCUCGGUCCGUUCCUUACGCUUCCUCGGUUUAGGGUUGGAAGGGUCCUGAAAAAGGUUCAAAAAACCGAUAAGUCACAAGAAACCAACAUGGGAGUUACUCGGAGAAAAGAAAGAGAUCCAUACCUUGGGUUGAGGAGGCUUGUUGAUUUUGUUGGCUUUCAUUUCAGCCCUGAUCCGAGCGGCUUUCAGAGCAGCAGAAGUCAAUCGCUCGACCAGUUUCUUUUAUAUAAGCUAGAGAAGCUUCUGCAGAAGGAAAGAGACAGUUAGCGAAAUAUAACAAACAAAACAAAAAACAAGUCAACCAGACCCCCUUUUGCCGAAUUACCCUUGGGAAAAGCCGGGCUCAGGCCGAAUGCUGCCAAGAAGUGUUCAUCUUUAAAAAGUUUGCAGCUCGGGAGCCAGUUCCCCGCUACAAAAACUUCGCCGCCAUCCACUAUUUUGGCCUCUAGUUGCAUAUAGAUGGCGGCCACUGCUUCCUCCUCCGAUAGCUCGGGCACUUUGAAGUUCAGGCAGUGAUUGGGGUCGGCAGAUGGAGGUACGAUUGGGAUACCCCAUUCUCCUCCAUAAUAAACAAAGGCGAAUCCUCGGCGAAACCCCUUUUGAGAAGUGGGUAGGUCGAGGACGGUUCGGUAGCCUCGCCGAGCCUGGAAGCACCACCAACCAGGUCCAUGAUCCCCGGCAGGCAUCUCGAACAACUUGUACAUAUGCCGCCAAAGGGUGAGGGUCGACCUAACUCCAAUAAUGUCACAAAUUACCUGGACAGCCAAGAUUCCACCCCACGAGUUCGGAGAAAGCUGACCCAGGCAUAAAUUGUAGGCGUUCAGAAUGUCCUUCUCGAACUGGGUCAGCGGGAACCUCAAUCCCAUCUCCAUGGCCUUGUAAUAGAAGGCGGUGCAUCGGGAGGCGGGGUCAGGAUGGUAUGGCUGGCAUCGGGUCGGACCAGCAAGUAGGGGUCCUUUAUUUGAAACUUGGCCGCUUGGCCUCGGGCGUCUUCUAACAGAGCCUUUAUUAAUGACGGAAGGGGGAACUUCGCUCCCGGUCCGCCUUUGGGAUCAAUCUCCGGAUAUACAAGCCGCCCGGACGUCGAAGCUUCACCUUCUUCUCCCGGCAUAGUUAUCCAAACUACACCAUCAAACAAAUAUCUGUCUAAGUAACUCCUCGAAGAGGGAUAGGCCAGGGACACCUCCCAGGGUAGGGGGAUGGUACCCUCGGCCUCCUCCUCCUCGGCUUGCGAAGGAGUACUCGGGAGGGAAAGCGCCUCAGGCACAGCCGAGGGAUCCGGGCAACUUAUUAAAGUUGACACCAAUACCAUUCCCAUACCUCUCACAUCCUCGGCUAAAUUAUAAAGAGGUGAGGGAGGAGUGUCACUGACUCGGACGAGCUCCCCAUUAUUUAUCAACAGAAGGGGUCGGCCGAUUUUAUUAAAAGAAAUAGAAGAAAAACUUAGUGAAAAAACAAAACAAAAGCGUACCUGGUCGGACGAAGAAGAGGGAACCCGGACUUAGAGAGAGAAAGAGCUCUAAAAGUAGAGAGAGAAAGAGCAGAAAAUCUCAGAAUUUAGAGAGAGAGAGAGAAAUGAGGAAAUGGCAAAAUCUCUCUCUCCUCUCCCUAUUUAUAAGCAAAUUCCUCGGGUUCCGUGUCCCACGUCAAAACUUGGACCGGGACCUGCGUUUUCGCCACCUUAAUGGGCCUCUCAAAGAGCCCAAAACUGUUCAAAAAAAACAGCUCCAAGGAAUGUCAAUCGUCACAAAGGUCAUAAAUGACCAGAAGUUGAAUCGCCACCAUAUUUUCAAGCACCCCAAUAAUCCACCGUUGCCACGUGGCAUUUUGGUUUUCAAGAAACUAUUAAGUUCACCAGCUGAAGACUACUAGUUCAUCAGCUCAAGGUUACCAGCUCGGUCACUCCAGCCAGCGGUCCAACAUCUUAGGCACCGACUCGGACAAGCAUGGGGCUCAUUGGCCCCUCACUCGAGCCGCGUCCAACCAACUCGGCCAAGGAGGCUCUCCUCUUUGGUUGAGUAAGUCUCCUAAGUCCCAGAUUGACUUAGCGAGAGCAGGCACCGGCUCGGACAAGCAUGGGGCUCAUUGGCCCCUCAUCCGAGCCGCGUCCAACCAACUCGACCCAAGGAGGCUCUCCUCUUUGGUUGAGUAAGUCUCCUAAGUCCCAGAUUAACUUAGCGAGAGCAGGCACCGGCUCGGACAAGCAUGGGGCUCAUUGGCCCCUCAUCCGAGCCGCGUCCAACCAACUCGGCCCAAGGAGGCUCUCCUCUUUGGUUGAGUAAGUCUCCUAAGUCCCAGAUUGACUUAGCGAGAGCAGGCACCGGCUCGGACAAGCCUGGGGGCUCAUUGGCCCCUCAUCCGAGCCGCGUCCAACCAACUCGGCCCCAUGAGGCUCUCCUCUUUGGUUGAGUAAUUCUCCUAAGUCCCAUAUUGACUUAGUAAGAGUAGUCACCGGCUCGGACAAGCAUGGGGCCCAUUGGCCCCUAAUCCGAGCCAUGCACGAACAAUACCCCUCCAUUUCUCUAUGAGACCGGGUUGGCACGUAAGCUUCCCCUCUCUUAUAUGAGUCCGGGUCGGCACACACGUUUUCCCUCUCUCUUACGAGACCGGGUCGACAUGCACUUUUCCCCUCUCUCCCACGAGACCGGGUCGGCGCAUACGUUCCUCCUCCCCUCUAUGAGACCGGGUCGGCGCAUGUGCCUCCCCUCUCCUCGAAGGGACCGGGUCGGCACGUGCCACCCCUCUCCUUGAAGAGACCGGGUCGGCACAUGCCUCCCCCUCCUCAAAGAGACUGGGUCGGCACAUGCCACCCCUCUCCUUGAAGAGACCGGGUCGGCACAUGCCUCCCUUCUCCUCAAGGAGACUGGGUCGGCACACGCCACCCCUCUCCUUGAAGAGACCGGGUCGGCACAUGCCUCCCCUUCCCUCAAGGAGACUGGGUCGGCACGUGCCUCCCUUCUCCUCCAGGAGACCAGGUCAAUCUGGGCUCAGGGCUAUCUAGGUUCCGCCACGAACGGGAGACACUUCAGCAAGGCCUCGAUGUUUCCCAUUCCUGGCGUGGGGCUAAUUGUUUGGGUUAUUUCCUGGGCUAAGCCAGUCAGAGACACUAAACCCAACAAAGCCUUAAGCCUCCAGAGGGCCCCACCUGUGAUAGUGCCUCCCAGCUGUCAGUGCCCUCCAGCUGGGCUACAGUUGGGAUAUCCCAAGCACUAUAAAUACUCAACCCACUCAUCAAUGAGAAGGUAUUGAAUUCUUACCUAACAAACCAGAGCAUCUCUCUCUAGACUUUAUCUCUCUAAGAUUGAUCACUGACUUGAGCGUCGGAGAGGCGAUCCCGGAACAACCCCCGGGGCAGUCUAACCAUUACUUUUGCAGGAUUCCGGCGUACGGACUUUGGACUCAGGACAUUCAGAUCUGACCCGGUACUCCCUAAGCAAAGGAAUUAGCAUCCUCAAUUUCUAGACAGAAACACUAGACAUCAUUAGUUUUUGUUAUCUAUUAGAACUAAAUUUAACUAGUGGGGGAUAUUUAAGUUAAAUUAGUCGCUAAAUAUAAAUGAAAGUAGUUUUGAAACCCAUGCGUUGCACAAGUUAUUGUUUAUUUUAUUUUUUGCAAAUUUUUUGUUAACAUUGUUGAUUUUUUUUAUUGUUGUGAAAUGAGAUUUUUCAACACCAUUUUGUUUAUAUAAUUUGUCCAUUCUUUUUCUAUUGCAACAAUUAUCACUUUGGGUAGUUUCAUCUAUUAGAAUCAUUCCACUUUUGUUAAAGAAAGCAACUAUAAUUGAUAACAUCGCCUUUACUUGAUAUUAGUAAAAUCAUCAUUAAUUACUCAAAUUACUUCAAAAAGUUGUGUUUACUUUAUUAAGGAUUUACUUAUCCCCUACUCUAGUUAACCUCUCUAUGCUAGACUAUCCAUAUUUUUUAUUUUCUUAAAAAACAUGCCCAAACUCUUUCUUGUAGUAGAAAAAAGACAUAGAAAGUAUUUGUCAUUAUACUUUAAUUUCUAGAUUUGUUAUAUAAAAUUUUAUAUUUUUAAUGUCCGGUUAAAUAUUGUAGCUAAGUCGAUUAUUAAAUAGUAUCCCAAUAAUUGGUAUGACUAACAAUAGCUAACACAGUUUUAACAUGGAAAAUACCAUAACUAUUAUUAUAUUUAUCUAAAAGAAAGACUAAAUAAUGUCUUACCAUUUAUUUAGUUAAAUAUAUUUUCAUGAGUUGUAAAACUAUAUUGUAAAUGAAUCUUAUUUUGAAGUAUAUUUUAAGCACUCUCAAAUGGCAAUUUUUUUAAUGUUUUGAAUUAGGUAAAGAAAGUUAUAUUCAAAAUGGAACUCUAAUUUCUUGUAUCCAAAAAUCCUUUUAUGGAUGUAAAUGUAUGUAAAACUCUAUUUUUCAAAAUAUUUAAAAUAAAAAUUAAUGACAUGACAAUCCUACGUAGCGCUCUCUGUCUUAUAAUUUGUAGAACUAUAUUAUAGAUGGAUAUUAUUUCAAAGCAUAUUUCGAGUACAAUCCAAUGAAACAAAAAUUAAAAUAUUUCGAAUUACGUAGCAAAAGUUAUAUGCAAUUUACACAGUAUAAUAAUUUAGGUUUUUGAUGCAAAACCAUUUUUUUUUUUUUUGAAAGAACCAAACUCUGAUAUUCAAUUUACAUAAUAUAAUACUUUAGGUUGUUUAUUCGAAACGAAACUCUAAUUUCUCGUUAUCCAAAACUCCUUUUAUGUAUUUGAAUAUAUGUAGAACUCUAUUUUUUAAAAUAUUUAAAAUAAAAUUAAUGACAUGACAAUCCUACGUGGCGCUCUAUAUUUUAUAAGUUGUAGAACUAUAUUGUAAAUGGAUCUUAUUUCAGAGCAUAUUUCAAGCACUAUCCGAUGGAACAAAAAUUUAAAUAUUCCGAAUUACGUAGCAAAAGUUAUACGUGAUUUAAUUAGUAUAAUAAUCUACGUAGUUCAUGCAAAACCAAACUCUUAUUUUAGCUUAUCUGAAACUCAUUAUAUGCAUUUAAAUCUAUGUAGAACUCUAUCUUUGUAAAGGUUGUUUAUUCAAAACGAAACUCUAAUUUCUCGUUAUCCAAAACUCCUUUUAUGUAUUUGAAUAUAUGUAGAACUCUAUUUUUUAAAAUAUUUAAAAUAAAAGUGAUUGAUAUGACAAUUGUAUGUGGCGCUCUCUAUUUGAUAAGUUAUAGAACUAUAUUAUAAAUAUAUUUUAUUUCAGAGCAUAUUUUGAGCACUAUCCAAUAAAAUAAAAAUUAUAAUAUUUCGAAUUACGUAUCAAAAGUUAUACACAAUUUACAUAAUAUAAUAAUUUAGGUUGUUCAUGCAUAAUCAAACUCUAAUUUUAGCUUAUCUAGAAUUCCUUAUGUGUAUGCAAAAGAUUGAUGUUCAAUAACGGCAUAAAGUCAUGACGAUUAUUCAUCCAACAAAUCCGGUAACCGCCCGCGGCCCCGGACAAAAAGAACUAAACAGUCCGUUAAAUUAAGUAAUUAACCCGUGAUCAUCCUAUUAUAAGGCUCUUGGUUUGAUCUUGACAUCUUGCACCUUCUCUUUCGCAGCGGCAUCUUUUUCCUUAUUUUCCCAAACUCGUAUAAUUCUCUCCAUUGUCAACCCCACUCAAAUUAAUUUUCCAAGAUAAAUUUCUCCUUUAUUUCAUCGCCGCAUUAUCAUAUUAUUACAAAAACACAGUGAAAUUCAGCACUCAAGAUUGGUUCAAGAGACGCAUACACUAUGGGAGAAGAAGGAGGAUAGUUUUGCAACCUUUUGUAGAGAGGAGUACAAAAUUGACGCAAUUUUGGAAAGAAAUCUACAAUAUAAUUUAAACAUCCCAAAAAUCUUUGAAGUUGGGUUUGUGCUUUAUCUCAUCAGGAAACUUAUUAGCAACUCAAUUGCUCUAUCAAUUGGUUUGAUUGUCCCUUGAUGUAUAUCGUAGCCAAGAAAUCUACUUUUGUUUGAAAUAACUUCAUCUUUGUGGCCGAAACUAUUAAUCCAUUUUUAUUUGCUACAUUGAAAAAUAUUUGAAGAUUUGUUGAAAUAUUGUUCUAUUGAGGUUGAAAACACUAGAACAUCAUCUAUGUAAACUAUAAUAAAAUUUGUACAUUGAUUGAAAAUAUCAUUCAUAAUAUUUUGAAAAUUUAAAGGAGCAUUAAAGUCUUAAAGUCAUUAGAUUCCAUUCAUAAUGUUCAAAUGGAAAAGUAAAAGCUGUUUUGUACAUGUUUUCUUCUGCAACUUGAAUUUGUCAAAAUCCAGACUUCAUAUCAAAUUUUAAAAAUAUUUUUGCAUCAUAAAGUCUAUUAGUAAAUCUAAUCUAUUUGAAAAGGGAUAUCGAAUUCAAAUAACUUUAUUAAGAGGUUUAUAAUUAAUAACUAAUCUAGGAACUCCUUUUUAUUUCUUGUAAUACUCCGUAUUUUUCGUAUUAUUAAUUAUAAUUUUUAAAAGAAUUUUAAUUAUUAAAGAAGUUUAUUAUUAAUUAUAAAGGUUUUAAAUAGGUUUUUAUGAUAUAUUAUGGGGUUUUCAAAUAAAUUCUAUCCCAAAUUAUAUAUUGGGCCUAAGUUUACAAAUUAUAAUAUAAGUAGUUAGUUUAGUAUUUAAGAUAUUUCUUAAAAGAAAAUCAUAAAAAAUUUACAAAAAGAAAAUAAAAAGAUUUAAAGAAAUUUCAAAAAAAAAAAGAAAAAAAUAAAUUUCCGCAGCAUCAAUCUGACGAUUAUGUUUCAUGAGGACUUAUCUUUUAGUUAUUUUAUCUUAGAUAAUUAUGUAUUAUGAUAUAAUCUAUAUCUUUUCCUAAUCUUAGUUGGAUAAGCAUAAAUAUUAGUUAUAUCUUAGCUAGAUUAGUUUAUCUUUUUCCUAAAUUUAUCUUCUAGUUUCCUAUUCCUAUUUAGAUUCUACUUUUUCAACUAGUAUAAAUAGGGGACUCCAGCCAUCAUUUUUUCACACCAAAUUUGAGAAAUACAUCUGUUUUCUCAAAUUUAAACUCUCUCUCCCUCAUAGCGUACCUUCAUCUUCCUCCGUAGUACUUAUUAAUUUUCAAGGUGCGUGUAUUUGUAGAUCUUUAAUAAUUGUUUUGCAAGUGCAAUAUCAUGUUUUUAGGAAAAUAUUUUAGAUUGAAAUACAUGUUUUUAUGAGUUUUAUUAUGAACUGCAUCUGUUUUAUAUGAGCAUGUUUGAAUGUUUACAAAUUUUAUUUAUGAACUUUGAAUUAUUUCUUUCAUUUAAUAUAUUUAUAAAGUUUGAUAUUUGAAUUUAUAUUCAAAUAUCUUAGAAGGAGUUUGAUCUUUUGAUUCAUGUUUAAAUAUUUAAAAAAGGAGUGUUUUUGAACUAUUAUUAUUUUUCAAAGGUUAAUCCUUGAGCAAGUUAUUUUAUUUAUGCCUUUAUAUGGCUAAUUUUUAAGAAUUAUUGUUCUUUUUAAAGGAGGAUUGUUUCAGAAGGAUUUUUAUUAGUUAUAUGAUCUUUUAUGAUCACAAUUAUAAAGAGGCAACGACUUGUUAUUUAUUAGCAAGAACGGUAGCCAUUAUAUUAUUUACCCAUGUACUUUUUGUAUAAGUCAUGUGGACAAUGUAGUAACCCCUCGUAAUAGACUCAGUAAGGAAUACUAAACUUGGGGGGUGUGCACACUUUAGGCAAGGAACCUAGGCAAGUAAAAUGAGUUUUUAUUAAAGUUAUAUACAGUAUAUUAUACAAGUAUUAUCAAGUAUCCAACAAAGAUUUUUCGAAAUUAAAUAUUUUAAUGUUUAAUUAAAUAAAGUGUUUAAUAUUCCACAUAUACAUGUACUCAGUAUUUUUACUGACACGCUUUUAUUUGUUUUGUUUUAUGGCUUUGUCCCUGUGAUGAUCCUAUUUUCGCGAGCAAAUUUUACAAGCUAAUAUGAUGCAUACUUCAUAUGGGAGAGCUAGUGAGGAAUCAAAAUUAGUCAAGGAGUUGUUAUUUUAUUUUUCUUAUUUCUAUUGUUAUGUAAUUGUACAAUAAAGUUAUUUCAAUAAAGAGAAGUUAGUUCAGUUA
This is an RNA transcript of Beta vulgaris subsp. vulgaris (sugar beet), 16934 nucleotides long. It is a transcript of the gene named manganese-dependent ADP-ribose/CDP-alcohol diphosphatase, with no coding region annotated. Lineage: Eukaryota; Viridiplantae; Streptophyta; Magnoliopsida; Caryophyllales; Amaranthaceae. The transcript is spliced from 3 exons. The record is from RefSeq and is a predicted model, not a curated record.